CCGAACCGACUAAUGUUGAAAAAUUAGCGGAUGACCUGUGGCUGGGGGUGAAAGGCCAAUCAAACCGGGAGAUAGCUGGUUCUCCCCGAAAGCUAUUUAGGUAGCGCCUCGUGAAUUCAUCUCCGGGGGUAGAGCACUGUUUCGGCUAGGGGGCCAUCCCGGCUUACCAACCCGAUGCAAACUGCGAAUACCGGAGAAUGUUAUCACGGGAGACACACGGCGGGUGCUAACGUCCGUCGUGAAGAGGGAAACAACCCAGACCGCCAGCUAAGGUCCCAAAGUCAUGGUUAAGUGGGAAACGAUGUGGGAAGGCCCAGACAGCCAGGAUGUUGGCUUAGAAGCAGCCAUCAUUUAAAGAAAGCGUAAUAGCUCACUGGUCGAGUCGGCCUGCGCGGAAGAUGUAACGGGGCUAAACCAUGCACCGAAGCUGCGGCAGCGACACUGUGUGUUGUUGGGUAGGGGAGCGUUCUGUAAGCCUGU
RNAcentral lists this ribosomal RNA (480 nucleotides) under Salmonella enterica. RNAcentral's name for it is "partial 23S ribosomal RNA". It matches the Rfam family "Bacterial large subunit ribosomal RNA", at positions 774 to 1252 of the family's 2925-position model. The record is from RNAcentral. RNAcentral also lists the same sequence under 1 other name. Lineage: Bacteria; Pseudomonadati; Pseudomonadota; Gammaproteobacteria; Enterobacterales; Enterobacteriaceae.